This 464-nucleotide ribosomal RNA is filed under the name uncultured bacterium. Its description in RNAcentral is "partial 16S ribosomal RNA". It matches the Rfam family "Bacterial small subunit ribosomal RNA", at positions 338 to 795 of the family's 1533-position model. The record is from RNAcentral.
CCUACGGGAGACAGCAGUAGGGAAUUUUCGUCAAUGGGCGCAAGCCUGAACGAGCAAUGCCGCGUGAACGAGGAAGGUCUUCGGAUCGUAAAGUUCUGUUGAAGGGGAAAAAGAGCGGAGAGAGGAAAUGGUCUCCGAUUGAUAUUACCCUUCGAGGAAGUCACGGCUAACUACGUGCCAGCAGCCGCGGUAAUACGUAGGUGGCGAGCGUUAUCCGGAAUGAUUGGGCGUAAAGGGUGCGUAGGCGGCCUGCUAAGUCUGGAGUGAAAGGUACCGGCUCAACCGGUAUAGGCUCUGGAAACUGGCGGGCUAGAGAGCAGGAGAGGGCGGUGGAACUCCAUGUGUAGCGGUAAAAUGCGUAGAUAUAUGGAAGAACACCAGUGGCGAAGGCGGCCGCCUGGCCUGUUACUGACGCUGAGGCACGAAAGCGUGGGGAGCAAAUAGGAUUAGAUACUCCAGUAGUC